GACGAACGCUGGCGGCGUGCUUAACACAUGUAAGUCGAACGGAAAGGCCCUGCUUUUGUGGGGUGCUCGAGUGGCGAACGGGUGAGUAACACGUGAGUAACCUGCCCUUGACUUUGGGAUAACUUCAGGAAACUGGGGCUAAUACCGGAUAGGAGCUCCUGCUGCAUGGUGGGGGUUGGAAAGUUUCGGCGGUUGGGGAUGGACUCGCGGCUUAUCAGCUUGUUGGUGGGGUAGUGGCUUACCAAGGCUUUGACGGGUAGCCGGCCUGAGAGGGUGACCGGCCACAUUGGGACUGAGAUACGGCCCAGACUCCUACGGGAGGCAGCAGUGGGGAAUAUUGCACAAUGGGCGGAAGCCUGAUGCAGCAACGCCGCGUGCGGGAUGACGGCCUUCGGGUUGUAAACCGCUUUCGCCUGUGACGAAGCGUGAGUGACGGUAAUGAGUAAAGAAGCACCGGCUAACUACGUG
This 468-nucleotide ribosomal RNA is filed under the name uncultured bacterium. Its description in RNAcentral is "partial 16S ribosomal RNA". It matches the Rfam family "Bacterial small subunit ribosomal RNA", at positions 28 to 507 of the family's 1533-position model. The record is from RNAcentral.